This 345-nucleotide ribosomal RNA is filed under the name Triticum aestivum (bread wheat). RNAcentral describes it as "partial small subunit ribosomal RNA". Lineage: Eukaryota; Viridiplantae; Streptophyta; Magnoliopsida; Poales; Poaceae. The record is from RNAcentral.
AUGAAGGAGGAGCUUACAAUCCAUGAGGACAUGUGCACCUCCCUGGAGCUGUUCAAUUUGGCGACCAAGUGCGCUAGGGCUGAGGAAGGGCGCCUUUCCCUCCUUGAGCUGCCAGCUGCCAACCCAGAAGAGAAGAAGCCCAAGGUCAAGGACGUGAAGCACAAGGGGGCUACCGUGCUUGAAGCAGAGCCGGACACCAAGCGAGGCAGGGACCAGCCUGAAUCAUCCAAGGGCAGCCGGUACUGCGUGUACCACGACCUCCACACCCACAACACCAACGAGUGCCAAGAGCUCAGGGCCGUGCGGGACGUGCAUGCCGGCCGACGCCCCAAGCGCAGCGACUGA